UACAGAGGUCCCAAGCGUUGUUCGGAUUCACUGGGCGUAAAGGGUGCGUAGGUGGUCAGGUAAGUCUGAUGUGAAAUCUCUGAGCUCAACUCAGAAAUGGCAUUGGAUACUAUCUGGCUAGAGGGUCGGAGGGGGGGACUGGAAUUCUCGGUGUAGCAGUGAAAUGCGUAGAUAUCGAGAGGAACACCAGUGGCGAAGGCGAGUCCCUGGACGACUCCUGACACUGAGGCACGAAAGCUAGGGGAGCAAACAGG
RNAcentral lists this ribosomal RNA (254 nucleotides) under uncultured bacterium. Its description in RNAcentral is "partial 16S ribosomal RNA". It matches the Rfam family "Bacterial small subunit ribosomal RNA", at positions 524 to 776 of the family's 1533-position model. The record is from RNAcentral.